This 537-nucleotide ribosomal RNA is filed under the name uncultured archaeon. Its description in RNAcentral is "bacterial SSU rRNA". It matches the Rfam family "Archaeal small subunit ribosomal RNA", at positions 1 to 547 of the family's 1478-position model. The record is from RNAcentral.
UUCCGGUUGAUCUGCCGGACCCGACUGCUAUCAGAGUGGGACUAAGCCAUGCGAGUCAACGCAGUAAUGCGUGGCAUACGGCUCAGCAACACGUAGUCAACAUGCCCAGGGGACGUGGAUAACCUCGGGAAACUGAGGAUAAACCGCGAUAGGCCAAGGUUUCUGGAAUGGACAAUGGCUCAAACCUAUAUGGCCUCUGGAUUGGACUGCGGCCGAUCAGGCUGUUGGUGAGGUAAUGGCCCACCAAACCUGUAACCGGUACGGGCUCUGAGAGGAGGAGCCCGGAGAUGGGCACUGAGACAAGGGCCCAGGCCCUAUGGGGCGCAGCAGGCGCGAAACCUCUGCAAUAGGCGAAAGCUUGACAGGGUUACUCUGAGUGAUGUCCGCUAAGGGCAUCUUUUGGCACUUCUAAAAAUAGUGUAGAAUAAGGGGUGGGCAAGUCUGGUGUCAGCCGCCGCGGUAAUACCAGCACCCCGAGUGGUCGGGACGAUUAUAGGGCCUAAAGCAUCCGUAGCCGGUUCUGCAAGUCUUCCGUUA